Molecule: long non-coding RNA, 1496 nt
Organism: Rosa rugosa (rugosa rose)
Lineage: Eukaryota; Viridiplantae; Streptophyta; Magnoliopsida; Rosales; Rosaceae
Exons: 5
Source: RefSeq, a predicted model, not a curated record
UAAUCAAAACAGCUACGAAAUUUGGCCAAAAUUAAAGUUAAAUCUCCUUCUCAGUCCAUCCCUCACUCUUAUCUUUCUCUCUCCGUCGAAAGCUUCGAGAAAUCUCAAACCAUUACCAGCUCCUCCGCCAAAAUCAAGUCACUCUCUGUCUCCGAGAUCACACCCCCUCAGCUCUCCAACCUCUCAAUUGUCAAAUCCGCCUCCACCUUCUCCUUCGCCUCCGCCUUCACCAGUGAGCCAUCGGAGGCGGAGCUCCGUAAGUUCGGUGUCUCCGACGAUAUCAGAGCCUUUGUCAAGCGACUCACUUCCGAAUUUUUUGAUUCGGUUCUUCAAAUGCGCACACCGUUUCGAUCGAAUAGUCGACUCUCUAAUCCUUGAUGCUCUGCACUUCGCUCCUCGCAGCUCAUCGUUUGAUCUGAUUCUUGUUAAUUGGAGUAGAUGGCGUAGGAUUUGAUUAAAUUUGCGAUCACCAGGGAUUUUAAAACAGUGAUCAAGAGUUUGUCUGUGAUGGCAAAGACGACUCUUCCAGUGGUGAGGAAAACACAGAGACCCAGCAAAGCUUCGUAGAGAGGAAGCAUCAGUUUCCUGGAAUGGAGUUGAUCGUUCGAGAAUUUUCAUUUCAUCAGCUGAAUGCCAAUUUACUCUGGCCGGGGACAUUUGCAUUUGCAGAAUGGUUAAUUCAAAACAGGCCAUUGAUUGAGGGACGACAUUGUAUUGAACUGGCCAGGUAUUUCUCAAAGCUUUGACAUCCAUUUGUUAGUGGAAUCAUCCACUCCUGGCCAGGCAUAGAAAAUAAUACUUGAAUGCAUUAUUUUUUUCUCUUGCUUUGACCUCGGGGCUCCCAAGUAAUAAUCGCAUUAUGUUAAUACUAUCUUUUUAAAUAUAUGGUAUACCUUCCUUUUGUUGUUUGUAAGAUGAAGUUUUGUUUACCUGCCGGUAGUUCGACUGAUUUCUCAGGAAAACCUUUGCAAAGAUGUAUGCAAUGUCUUCUCAUGAACCCUUGAUACAGAGUGUAACAUUACUGUUUUCUGUUUUCUACUUCUUUGUCUGUGAUGGCGUAGAUGGCCCCUGUGUUCGCAAAUUCAAUCAAGGUACAAGAAUUUUUGUACUUCAUUUAUGAGUUAACUGAUGGUCUUGUAUACAGUUCAGAUCUUAAUUAGAAGAUUAGAUGACUGCAAAAUUGGAGCUCCAUAAUCUUUUAAAGGAGAGCUCCAACUUCAAUGGGGAAACAAGAGGCAUCCGUAAGUGUUGAAUUUAUCAUGAAGAUCCAAGUAAAGCUGUUCUUUUAAGACACAAGAUGUAUUUGAAGUGGAAUGUGGCAAUGUGCAGUGAACGGUUGAGGCAAUCCACCCCAAUGGCUUUACACUACCACUUUAGGUUCAUUUUAUUUGUAUUGGUUUUGCUAUAAGCUUCAUUUGUUAUUGCUUCCACAACAUUUGUUUGUAUACUGCUCAAUUUUUUAUACAAGUGAAUGUUCUCUUAUGAAAUUGCAACAA